UAUGGUAAUUGUGUGCCUGAAGACGAGGUAAUACGUAGGUCCCGAGCGUUGUCCGGAUUUAUUGGGCGUAAAGCGAGCGCAGGCGGUUUGAUAAGUCUGAAGUUAAAGGCUGUGGCUCAACCAUAGUUCGCUUUGGAAACUGUCAAACUUGAGUGCAGAAGGGGAGAGUGGAAUUCCAUGUGUAGCGGUGAAAUGCGUAGAUAUAUGGAGGAACACCGGUGGCGAAAGCGGCUCUCUGGUCUGUAACUGACGCUGAGGCUCGAAAGCGUGGGGAGCGAACAGG
This 283-nucleotide ribosomal RNA is filed under the name Streptococcus salivarius. RNAcentral describes it as "partial 16S ribosomal RNA". It matches the Rfam family "Bacterial small subunit ribosomal RNA", at positions 492 to 776 of the family's 1533-position model. The record is from RNAcentral. Lineage: Bacteria; Bacillati; Bacillota; Bacilli; Lactobacillales; Streptococcaceae.